UUUUUUUUAUCCGAUAGUUUACAAUAUUUUGUAUAUGGGAGAAAAGUUUCGCAACCAAAAAGUAAUUAGAAGUAUAUAAAAAAAUGUUUUAACAAACAAAGUCAAAUCGACAAUCGAUUCACUUAGCUGUUUGAAAUAUUUAAUCUAUUAGUUGUCCAGCAUCUUUUAACAAAUACAACACUAUCCCCACAGGCGCGAACAGCGCACAGUAUUCGCUUGCGCCGGCCACGCAUGGCUAGCCGUGCGACGCUGCAGUGCGCUGCGGGUCGUGCGGGGGGAGGGGCUGCUGCAAGAGCCACUGCUGCUGCAUUGGGGUCGUUGGCUACACAUGCUAGAGCAGCGCAUACGAGACUUGUCCCUGCGCAUCCAGCUAGAGCUGUGCAGCUCUAGCUGUACGGUGGUCGGCUGAUGAUGAUAUAGUGGGAUUCCUGCAGGCGCUACUGAAUUAUCGGUUGCUGAAGAAUGUGCUGGAUGAUGCGCCACCUACACAGCAGUUAAAAAUGAAAACCCGCAUAUGCGCAUAUACAGUGUUCUGGAAUGGGCUAUUUUAUUAAACGAAGGAAAACCAAGUUUGUGUGAUUAAAAUAUAUUUUUACAUGCUUUAAAUUCAUACCUAUGUGUUCUCAUACUUAAUUGGCAAUAAAAAUUAUUAUGUUCGAUAAA
RNA transcript from Colias croceus (clouded yellow), 663 nucleotides. RefSeq lists it as uncharacterized. The transcript is spliced from 2 exons. The record is from RefSeq and is a predicted model, not a curated record. Lineage: Eukaryota; Metazoa; Arthropoda; Insecta; Lepidoptera; Pieridae.